CCUACGGGAGGCAGCAGUGGGGAAUAUUGGGCAAUGGGCGCAAGCCUGACCCAGCAACGCCGCGUGAAGGAAGAAGGCUUUCGGGUUGUAAACUUCUUUUGUCAGGGAAGAGCAGUAGACUGUACCUGCCGAAUUACCCAUGGCUAACCACGUGCCAGCAGCCGCGGCAAUACGUAGGUGGCAAGCGUUCCCCGGAAUUACUGGGUGGAAAGGGCGUGUAGUCGGGUUGAUAAGUCAGUUGUGAAAUUCUGCGGCUUAACCGCAGAACUGCAUUUGAAACUGUUGGUCUUGAGUACAGGAGAGGCAGGCGGAAUUCCUGGUGUAGCGGUGAAAUGCGUAGAUAUUAGGAGGAACACCAGUGGCGAAGGCGGUCUGCUGGACAGCAACUGACGGUGAGGCGCGAAAGCGUGGGGAGCAAACAGGAUUAGAUACCCUAGUAGUC
RNAcentral lists this ribosomal RNA (442 nucleotides) under uncultured bacterium. RNAcentral's name for it is "partial 16S ribosomal RNA". It matches the Rfam family "Bacterial small subunit ribosomal RNA", at positions 338 to 795 of the family's 1533-position model. The record is from RNAcentral.